CUCUUUCUCUUCUCCGACGCACCUUGCCCCCUCCACCCACUGCAAAGAAAGCAUUGUUUUAUCCUUGUUCUGUUGCCUUGAUCGGAAGGGAUUGUUAUACGGUAACAGAAAACAAAGAUUAUUGUGGAAGGGGAAAGGUUGAUCGUAGAUGUUGAUAGCUCGAUCCCGAACGAGAUCUGGUUCGUUUUGCGAUGAUUAGCUCGAUCCCGAAACUGAACAACAAGAUCAGGUUUCAUUUUGACGGUGCUGGGUUAUGGGGGUUGCAGAUCUGGGUUGAGG
This 279-nucleotide long non-coding RNA is filed under the name Glycine max (soybean). RNAcentral describes it as "long non-coding RNA (GMAX_LNC003707)". The record is from RNAcentral. Lineage: Eukaryota; Viridiplantae; Streptophyta; Magnoliopsida; Fabales; Fabaceae.